Molecule: unclassified non-coding RNA, 315 nt
Filed under: Hevea brasiliensis (rubber tree)
Lineage: Eukaryota; Viridiplantae; Streptophyta; Magnoliopsida; Malpighiales; Euphorbiaceae
Source: RNAcentral
UAGUUUGACUCUCAAGGAAUUUGGAACCCACUCUUUUUAGGGUAGGUAAGGAUGAUAAAAUAUUCAGCAUUUCACUUGUAUCCAUCCAUGCUUAAUAAAGAAAUCAUUAGAGGUCAAUUCCUUCAAACGUAGCAAUUGAAACACUCAUUUAAAUUUCAGAAUCUGAAUCAGUGGAAAAGUGGCAGCGGCGCCUCAACCCUUGAUCUUUUUCAUCAAAAAGCCCUUGCGUGCUUUUAAAAAUACCUUCCUUGUCCUUUAUCUGGUCUUUCUCAAGUUAUUAAUUAUUAUUAUUAUAAAUAGAGAGAGAGAGAGAGA